GACGAACGCUGGCGGCGUGCUUAACACAUGCAAGUCACGGGGGUUGGAGCAAUCCAGCAACCGGCGAACGGGUGCGUAACACGUGAGCGACCUGCCCAGUUGUGGGGGAUAGCCGGCCCAACGGCCGGGUAAUACCGCAUACGCGUCUUUGGGGGCAUCCCUGGGGACGGAAACCUACGGGGCGAUUGGAGGGGCUCGCGGCCUAUCAGCUAGUUGGCGAGGUAACGGCUCACCAAGGCGAUGACGGGUAGCUGGUCUGAGAGGAUGGCCAGCCACAUUGGGACUGAGAGACGGCCCAGACUCCUACGGGAGGCAGCAGUGGGGAAUCUUGCGCAAUGGCCGAAAGGCUGACGCAGCGACGCCGCGUGUGUGAAGAAGGCCCUAGGGUUGUAAAGCACUUUCAAUGGGGAGGAAAAGAGUAGGCAAAUACCCUGCUUAUUGACAUUACCCAUACAAGAAGCACCGGCUAACUCCGUGCCAGCAGCCGCGGUAAUGUCUGUACU
This 503-nucleotide ribosomal RNA is filed under the name uncultured bacterium. Its description in RNAcentral is "bacterial SSU rRNA". It matches the Rfam family "Bacterial small subunit ribosomal RNA", at positions 28 to 531 of the family's 1533-position model. The record is from RNAcentral.